This 447-nucleotide ribosomal RNA is filed under the name uncultured bacterium. RNAcentral's name for it is "bacterial SSU rRNA". It matches the Rfam family "Bacterial small subunit ribosomal RNA", at positions 355 to 825 of the family's 1533-position model. The record is from RNAcentral.
UGGGGAAUUUUGGGCAAUGGGCGAAAGCCUGACCCAGCAACGCCGCGUGAAGGAUGAAGUAUUUCGGUAUGUAAACUUCGAAAGAAUAGGAAGAAUAAAUGACGGUACUAUUUAUAAGGUCCGGCUAACUACGUGCCAGCAGCCGCGGUAAUACGUAGGGACCAAGCGUUGUUCGGAUUUACUGGGCGUAAAGGGCGCGUAGGCGGCAAUUCAAGUCAUCUGUGAAAUCUCCGGGCUUAACUCGGAACGGUCAGAUGAUACUGCUUUGCUAGAGUGCAGAAGGGGCAAUCGGAAUUCUUGGUGUAGCGGUGAAAUGCGUAGAUAUCAAGAGGAACACCUGAGGCGAAGGCGGGUUGCUGGGCUGAUACUGACGCUGAGGCGCGAAAGCUAGGGUAGCAAACGGGAUUAGAUACCCCAGUAGUCCCUGAGCGGGCUGGCAAGGCGCAU